This 974-nucleotide ribosomal RNA is filed under the name Campylobacter jejuni. RNAcentral's name for it is "partial 23S ribosomal RNA". It matches the Rfam family "Bacterial large subunit ribosomal RNA", at positions 467 to 1294 of the family's 2925-position model. The record is from RNAcentral. Lineage: Bacteria; Pseudomonadati; Campylobacterota; Epsilonproteobacteria; Campylobacterales; Campylobacteraceae.
UAAAUACUAAUACCAGAUCGAUAGUGCACAAGUACCGUGAGGGAAAGGUGAAAAGAACUGAGGUGAUCAGAGUGAAAUAGAACCUGAAACCAUUUGCUUACAAUCAUUCAGAGCCCUAUGUAGCAAUACAGGGUGAUGGACUGCCUUUUGCAUAAUGAGCCUGCGAGUUGUGGUGUCUGGCAAGGUUAAGCAAACGCGAAGCCGUAGCGAAAGCGAGUCUGAAUAGGGCGCUUAGUCAGAUGCUGCAGACCCGAAACGAAGUGAUCUAUCCAUGAGCAAGUUGAAGCUAGUGUAAGAACUAGUGGAGGACUGAACCCAUAGGCGUUGAAAAGCCCCGGGAUGACUUGUGGAUAGGGGUGAAAGGCCAAUCAAACUUCGUGAUAGCUGGUUCUCUCCGAAAUAUAUUUAGGUAUAGCGUUGUGUCGUAAUAUAAGGGGGUAGAGCACUGAAUGGGCUAGGGCAUACACCAAUGUACCAAACCCUAUCAAACUCCGAAUACCUUAUAUGUAAUCACAGCAGUCAGGCGGCGAGUGAUAAAAUCCGUCGUCAAGAGGGAAACAACCCAGACUACCAGCUAAGGUCCCUAAAUCUUACUUAAGUGGAAAACGAUGUGAAGUUACUUAAACAACCAGGAGGUUGGCUUAGAAGCAGCCAUCCUUUAAAGAAAGCGUAAUAGCUCACUGGUCUAGUGAUUUUGCGCGGAAAAUAUAACGGGGCUAAAGUAAGUACCGAAGCUGUAGACUUGCGCACAACUUAGAUUAUUUAAGUUUAGAAUAUGAGAAACUAAGUUAUAUGUUUAGUUAUAUUUUUACUGAUUUUUAUAGAGUAAAGAUAGAAAUAAAACUUAGUAAAAUCAGUAAAAAUAUUCUUAGACUAAAGUUAAGUAGUUUAAGUUGUGUGCAAGUGGUAGGAGAGCGUUCUAUUUGCGUCGAAGGUAUACCGGUAAGGAGUGCUGGAGCGAAUAGAAGUGAGCA